UCAGUGUUGAAGUUUUAAGGGACCCCUUUAAAUUGUCAUGUUAGAUUUGCUCAGACAUCAGACAUUCCACAUUUAUUAGGCUUUU
This is a long non-coding RNA of Etheostoma cragini (Arkansas darter), 85 nucleotides long. RefSeq lists it as uncharacterized. Lineage: Eukaryota; Metazoa; Chordata; Actinopteri; Perciformes; Percidae. The record is from RefSeq and is a predicted model, not a curated record. The transcript has 3 exons.